GAGUUUGCAGCUUUGUGGCCUUGGUUUUGCAAAAACCAAUGAGAAACGUAUAGUUUCCAAACU
This 63-nucleotide transfer RNA is filed under the name Kotorella pronosoma. Its description in RNAcentral is "tRNA-Cys". Lineage: Eukaryota; Metazoa; Platyhelminthes; Cestoda; Trypanorhyncha; Tentaculariidae. The record is from RNAcentral.